Molecule: ribosomal RNA, 497 nt
Filed under: uncultured bacterium
Lineage: Bacteria
Description: partial 16S ribosomal RNA
Rfam family: Bacterial small subunit ribosomal RNA
Source: RNAcentral
GAUGAACGCUGGCGGCGUGCCUAAUACAUGCAAGUCGAGCGAACAGACGAGGAGCUUGCUCCUCUGACGAUAGCGGCGGACGGGUGAGUAACAUGUGGAUAACCUACCUAUAAGACUGAGAUCACUACGGGAAACCGGAGCUAAUCCCGUAUAAUAUAUUGAACCGCAUGGUGCAAUAGUGAAAGACGGUUUUGCUGUCACUUAUAGAUGCAUCCGCGCUGCAUUAGCUAGUAGGUAAGCUUAAGGCCUACCAAGGCGACGAGGCGUAGCCGACCUGUGAGGCUGAUCGGCCACACGAGAAGGGAACCACGGACCAGACUCCUGAGAGAGGCAGCAGUAUGGUAUGUUACGCAGAAGGGGGAAGCCUGACGGAACAACGCGGCGUGAGUGAUAGAGAUCCUGGGUUCGUGAAACUCUGUUAUUAGGGAAAAACCGAUGUGUAAGUAACUAUACACGUCUUGACGGUACCUGAUCAGGAAGCCACGGCUAACUACGUG